This 422-nucleotide ribosomal RNA is filed under the name uncultured Hydrogenobaculum sp. RNAcentral's name for it is "bacterial SSU rRNA". It matches the Rfam family "Bacterial small subunit ribosomal RNA", at positions 985 to 1397 of the family's 1533-position model. The record is from RNAcentral. Lineage: Bacteria; Pseudomonadati; Aquificota; Aquificia; Aquificales; Aquificaceae.
AAUGGUAGGAAAGGCUGUCGAAAGAUAGCCGUGUUUCCCUUUUGGGAGAAAUCCUACCACAGGUGGUGCAUGGCCGUCGUCAGCUCGUGUUGUGAGAUGUUGGGUUAAGUCCCGCAACGAGCGCAACCCUUGUCCUUAUUUGCUUCCUCGUAUGAGGUGCUCUAUAAGGAGACUGCCGGCGACAAGCCGGAGGAAGGAGGGGACGACGUCAGGUCAGUAUGCCCUUUAUGCCCUGGGCUACACAGGCGCUACAGUGGCAAGGACAAUGAGUAGCGAGAGUGCAAGCUCAAGCUAAUCUCACAAACCUUGUCGUGGUGCGAAUUGAAGGUUGAAACUCACCUUCAUGAAGCCGGAAUCGGUAGUAAUGGCGUAUCAGCUAUGUCGCCGUGAAUACGUUCCCGGGCCUUGUACACACCGCCCGU